UACGUAGGUGGCAAGCGUUGUUCGGAAUAACUGGGCGUAAAGGAUGCGUAGGCGGUUAAACAAGUUAUAUGUUAAAUAUAUAGGCUUAACCUGUAGAAAGCAUAUAAAACUGUUUAACUAGGGUGCAGGAGAGGUAAGUGGAUUUCCUAGUGUAGCGGUGAAAUGCGUAGAGAUUAGGAAGAACACCAGUGGCGAAGGCGACUUACUGGACUGUAACUGACGCUGAGGCAUGAGAGCAUGGGGAGCAAACAGG
Molecule: ribosomal RNA, 253 nt
Filed under: uncultured bacterium
Lineage: Bacteria
Description: partial 16S ribosomal RNA
Rfam family: Bacterial small subunit ribosomal RNA
Source: RNAcentral